Molecule: long non-coding RNA, 288 nt
Organism: Magallana angulata
Lineage: Eukaryota; Metazoa; Mollusca; Bivalvia; Ostreida; Ostreidae
Exons: 4
Source: RefSeq, a predicted model, not a curated record
UCAAAUAAUCGCUAUAUGUGAAAAACAUCGGUUGAAAAAAAAUGAAGGUGUUUGUUUUUGUUGCGUUGACUUUCCUUGUAAUGGUAUCUACAAGUGUUGUCAUCGCGGGGUUUCACUGCCCCACUAACGAGGCUCUAUGUAACUCGUUCUGUAAAAGCAGAGGUUGUAAAAGAGGGUACUGCGACCCUGCAGUCCUGUGGCUGAGGUGUACGUGUUCCGGAUGUAGUGGAUAGAUCUAGAAGAAAGUCAACCUAACAAACGAAAUAAAUAAUUACAUUUCAGACAAUU